UACGGAUGGUGCAAGCGUUAUCCGGAUUCACUGGGUUUAAAGGGUGCGUAGGUGGGCAGGUAAGUCAGUGGUGAAAUCUCCGGGCUUAACUCGGAAACUGCCAUUGAUACUAUCUUUCUUGAAUACCGUGGAGGUCAGCGGAAUAUGUCAUGUAGCGGUGAAAUGCUUAGAUAUGACAUAGAACACCUAUUGCGAAGGCAGCUUACUACGCAUAUAUUGACGCUGAGGCACGAAAGCGUGGGGAUCAAACAGG
RNAcentral lists this ribosomal RNA (253 nucleotides) under uncultured bacterium. RNAcentral describes it as "partial 16S ribosomal RNA". It matches the Rfam family "Bacterial small subunit ribosomal RNA", at positions 524 to 776 of the family's 1533-position model. The record is from RNAcentral.